Hyalella azteca is the source of this 4110-nucleotide long non-coding RNA. RefSeq lists it as uncharacterized. The transcript is spliced from 2 exons. The record is from RefSeq and is a predicted model, not a curated record. NCBI's taxonomy places the organism in Eukaryota, Metazoa, Arthropoda, Malacostraca, Amphipoda, Hyalellidae.
UUAUAGAAAACUUAUAAAUGUUUGAGGCAUUUGGCUCUACGUUUGUGCUGCUGUGUGCUAUUAGCGUUGCACGAUACUGGAACCAACAGAAGUCGCCCAUGGUGUUCGGGUUUUGUCGCCUUCGUUAUAACGCAUCCCCAUGAGUGAAAUCUCUUGGCGUAAUCGCUUGUCGUGCUCGUCCGUGGCAGUUCCCAAGUUGUCAGGGAAGAAGUUCGGGUGCUCGUGUUGGAAUUAUAUUUUCAGGGAUAUACUGGAGUCAAAUGUUCUGAAUGACUCUUGCAUCGGUUGUACUGUUCCUUCAAUGUCUGCGUAUCGUCCCCUAUAGGAACUUGUCUGUCGCAGCUUUGAAGCUCCUCCUCGCUGCCAACUCUCUGGGGCUUAGAGUUUUUAAAAAAGUCUCACUAUUCAGUAAGUGUCGGAUUUGUGGUUCAAAAAUGACACCAGCCUCCAUUUUUCCCUUUUACAAGGUGUUGCCAAACUUCUCCUUCAGGUAUAAUAGCCCAAGUCCAUUGAGAUCCAUUAUCCGGACGAAAUUGUUAUCAAACCGAGCUUUAUGUGGAGGGAUGGAAGGAAAAUCUAGCUGGGUCGACAGAGGCGAAAUGCUUCAUGUUGUGUCCACCAGGACUCAUGACUUCUGUUAUGGACAUAAUGGACACUUAUGGCAGUGUCCAUUAUGACUUCUAAAUUAUGUAAGUAUUUCUGUAAUUGAAAAUCCUUGCAUAAUUAAGCGAAACGAUUUUGAUUUUUUGUAUCACAAGACCCGAAUUACUUAACUACCGGUACUUUACAUAUCUCCAGUAAAAAAAUGUUUUUAGAGUAUGUUGUUCAGUGAUUUUAUGAGAGUAUUCCGUAACUAAAAAGCAUGACGUAAUUCAGCCAAAUGGUUAAAAAUAAUCUGUGGAUUCGAAUUAGUCUAAUUAUUUAACACAUCUCCAGUAAAACAAUUUGUUGAAAUAUAUUUUUCAGUGUAAUUCAUGGCGGAAGGAGGUGAGCUGAAUGCGUACUUGUAGGUCAUGGCGGGUUACCCUCUGAACUUGAUAAUGGGCGUGUCUGAGAUGUCGGAAGGCAACCUCGCAUUGGCUCCCAGUUCAAGCUCGCACUUGAAAAAAGAGCAAGAACCUUGUAGUGCGGACGCAUUAGUGGUUGCUCCUGAAACAGCAUCUGUGCGAGCGGGCGUCAAGUGCCAGUUGUUUCUUCCUCGAACUGCUAUCAUGAAUAAAUUGAUUGAGCUUGUUGCAAAGCAAGGAAUUCAUCCGACGGCACGCGUACGUAAGACCCCCGAGGAGGAAGAGCUCUAAGGCUAUAUAUAUUGGUAGGGUUAGGUGUGUACCGAGAGUAGAGCUUGGCUGAGUCGCCUGCUCCACACAUCGUAGUGUGGCUCUGAGGUGCUAGCAUCCUGCCACUGGGCGUCAGACGCUUGCGUGCGUCCUAGGCUGCUGUACUGCACAUUGCAUUAAUACUUCACUUAGCUUACGUGUGUACUGCAUUGCAUUAUUACUUCACGUAGCUUACGUGUAUUUAGUUGGAAAACUUAUCUGUAUGGAUUUGUUUAAAUAGAUUGCAUUAUUACUUCACUUAGCUUACGUGUAUUUAGUUAGAAAACUUAUCUGUAUGGAUUUGUUUAAAUAGAUUGCAUUAUUACUUCACUUAGCUUACGUGUAUUUAGUUGGAAAACUUAUCUGUAUGGAUUUAUUUAAAUAGAUUGCAUUAUUACUUCACUUAGCUUACGUGUAUUUAGUUGGAAAACUUAUCUGUAUGGAUUUAUUUAAAUAGAUUGCAUUAUUACCGUACUUCACUUCGCGUGUAUUUAGUUAGAAAUUUGGGUAGUAUCUGUAUGGAUUUAUUCAAGUAAUUUCAGUGUUGAGAUUCGUUCAUUUCGUUGUUUUUUAUUUAGAUUUUUUUCAGUGAGCAUGACUUCUUUUUGUAGUGAAGCACUUGAUUUUCUUCCAUGAAAAUGGAAAAUAUUUUUUGUUUCAACUCGAAUUCUUCAUAUAUCGAAUAUUAAUUCGUCAUAUAUCGGUAUGAUUCUGAAGAGCUAAGCUCAAUGAGAAUUUAAUAAUUUACAGUCUAAAAUACCUAGCCGCAUCAGAACAGUUCAGUCUAAUGAACUCUUGCCUAUUAUGAACUUUCUUUGUAAUAAGUCUGUAAUAAUUGUUAGAAAAUAAUAUCACUGUUUCUCAUCAACAUCGGGCUAGUACUUUUUUGGUAGGGAUGGGGGGAGGCAAAUAAGUUGUUAACAGUUCUUACUGUGGUAAUGAAUUAUUGGGGCAUUAGUCAUAUUAGCCUGUGCAUUUUUUAGUAUUUGAUUCCUUAAGUGUAGGAUGUCUUAGUAAAUGUGUACCUACAUUGAAUACUAAUCGUAGUUACCUCAUCAUCAUGUGAUACACGUUUUAGUGCAUCCUACUUCCUGUGGAACAGUUCAUUAUCAACAGUACGAGACUGUUGAUGGCCUUAGCGCUGUAGGUUGUUGGUUGAGCAAGACACGUCCGGUAGUAAUUGUGUCAUCAUCACUGUCCGCGAUCAAAUUCCAUCAAUGCACUAGAUUUUUUGCGCAGAUUACCAAUUGCUUUCUAAAGCAAUAAUUAUCAUAAAUUGAGUUACUCAAUCGGUGACAUCUCCGACAUAAUGGGUGAAGAUCACAGCCGACACUGCAACUGUGACCGCUGCAAGCAGCAGGGCGCUAAAAAGUGAACAUGAGGUGCUUAACUACAAGAAGCCCUGUGCCCUGGCGCAUCUCGAGUACCCUGCCUUCAAUACAAGCUGGAGAGAAAGAGUGGCCAGGGCCAGAGCAAGGAUGGCUGAGCAUCACCUGGAAUAUUGGAAGAUUAUGAUUAUUUUAAAUUAUCAAGAAUCUUCACUGUAAGGAGGGCGCCGAACAUCUAAGCGCCACAUUUUUGGCGCUUCCCUGAAUUUUACCCUUAAUUUCUGUGUAUGAGGAACGAUUAAAAUUUCUGUAAUGAGGGCUUCUCAACGAGGUUUGAAUAUAAUCUGCUUGAUGUCCAGACGUGAGCGGCUUUCUUAUCAGUGAGGAGUCCGACUCUAAAAAAUCUUGUCUGGUUCAGCGAUGAUAAUCCUGUUAUAUUUGGCUAAUGGACGAAAAAAUUUCAUUGUAAUUUUCAUAUAACUGCUGCACAAGAUUGAAAGGAUAAAGAGCCGAUUAAUAUUUUCUAUUUAUAAUUACCUAACGUUACAUAAGAAACUAAAUAAGUUCUUACCUAUCUUUUUUUAAAUCUAUUUAAUUAACAGGAAAAUAUUCGCGACGGUUAUUUUAUUGAUGUCAAAUUCUCUAAACACUACGACCCGUUAAAAUUUGUUUGAUUGUUGAUUGUCUUAUUGUAUUGGAAAAUCAAAUAAAAUAUGUCACUUCUACUCAGCAUUGUAACACAUGAGUGCAAUCAAUUUUUGGUUUCUGGUUUCAUAUGUAAGCUUUAGAUUAUUAUUCGUGUCCACAUAGUUCUAUCAAUGCGUUAUUAAGAUAAAAAUAAAUCGUGUCAAUGAUUAGUUCAUGGCCGGCAUUUCCGCUCAAAGGCUGCGUUGUUUCUAAACCUUGGCACUCAAUUCACUGCUGUGGACGUCCUGCGUGUGACGUUUAAGUUCCUCAAAAGGCCUGAAUCAUGACCAGAAUUACGUCUGUGCAUAAAAUAUAGAAACUGUUUCAGUUUGCCCAGUAGGACUUGAAUUUUUUUUUUACAAAUAACGCCCUCCCACCACCUGUGAACGUUACUGUUGUGUGGCAAUUUUGCUUCUUGUGUUCAGUUUUGAUCUCUUUGUGCAAGCGUGUAUUGUACCGUCUAUGUAUUAUUUCAUAUUUAACUGGAAAUAUAUGGAUGUUCAUGUUGUGCAUCUUGUCGUAAGUGUUGUACGUUUUAUCUUGUGAAUUGUAACGCUAGUCAUGAAUGGAAGAAAGUCGAUGUGUUCGUUGGCUUCAUUAAUUCUUCGUGACGUACCGAAAAAAUGUUCUGCUAAUUUUUGUUUCGCUUACUGUGAUGACUUUCUUAUUUUAAAGUUGUAACGUGUUAUUUUAUGUAACCUCUCAUUAAAACUUAUGGUAGAGCCGGCAUUCAGAAACAUUUCUUGUGCUAGUUGUUUCAAUACAUCAUUUCCACCAUA